This 255-nucleotide ribosomal RNA is filed under the name uncultured bacterium. RNAcentral's name for it is "partial 16S ribosomal RNA". It matches the Rfam family "Bacterial small subunit ribosomal RNA", at positions 524 to 776 of the family's 1533-position model. The record is from RNAcentral.
CACGUAGGGGGCGAGCGUUGUCCGGAAUCAUUGGGCGUAAAGAGCUCGUAGGCGGCUCGGUAAGUCGGGUGUGAAACCCCCAGGCUCAACCUGGGGACGCCACCCGAUACUGCUGUGCUAGAGUCCAGUAGGGGGAGUGUGGAAUUCCCGGUGUAGCGGUGAAAUGCGCAGAUAUCGGGAGGAACACCAGCGGCGAAGGCGGCACGUCUGGGACGGUACUGACGCUGAGACGCGAAAGCGUGGGGAGCGAACGAG